CACUUGCACAUGGGUUAGU
Molecule: small nuclear RNA, 19 nt
Filed under: Arabidopsis thaliana (thale cress)
Lineage: Eukaryota; Viridiplantae; Streptophyta; Magnoliopsida; Brassicales; Brassicaceae
Description: snRNA_00035
Source: RNAcentral